UCCUAUAUAUAAUGGCAGUAUCGUAGCCAAUGAGGUUUAUCCGAGGCGUGAUUAUUGCUAAUUGAAAACUUUUCCCAAUGCCAAGACACUUCCAAUUUGACGCAGGAGAAAACCU
Molecule: small nuclear RNA, 115 nt
Organism: Crotalus tigris (Tiger rattlesnake)
Lineage: Eukaryota; Metazoa; Chordata; Lepidosauria; Squamata; Viperidae
Product: U4 spliceosomal RNA
Exons: 1
Source: RefSeq, a predicted model, not a curated record